This 426-nucleotide ribosomal RNA is filed under the name Megaselia sp. 25 SH-2017. Its description in RNAcentral is "partial 16S ribosomal RNA". The record is from RNAcentral. Lineage: Eukaryota; Metazoa; Arthropoda; Insecta; Diptera; Phoridae.
UUUUAGAAUUUAAUUUAAAGUCUAACCUGCCCACUGAAUUUUUUUUAAAUGGCCGCAGUAUUUUAACUGUGCAAAGGUAGCAUAAUCAUUAGUCUUUUAAUUGAAGGCUGGAAUGAAUGGUUGAAUGAAAUAUUAACUGUUUCAUAAAAAUUAAAAUUAAAAUUUUAUUUUUUAGUUAAAAAGCUAAAAUAAAAUUAAAAGACGAGAAGACCCUAUAAAUCUUUAUAUUUUAAAUAUUUUAAUUAUAUAGAUAAAUUAAAUUAUAAUUGAAAAAAUAUUUUAUUGGGGUGAUAUUAAAAUUUAAUAAACUUUUAAUUUAUAAUUAACAUUAAUUUAUGAUUUAUUGAUCCAUUUAUUAUGAUUAAAAAAUUAAGUUACUUUAGGGAUAACAGCGUAAUUUUUUUAGAGAGUUCAUAUUGAUAAAAA